CGAGCACGCGCGUGUGGCAUAUCAAUAAGCGGAGGAAAAGAAACUAACAAGGAUUCCCUUAGUAACGGCGAGUGAAGCGGGAAGAGCUCAAAUUUGAAGUCUUCAAGGUUCUACCUUGACGAAUUGUAGUUUAUAGAAGUGUUUUCUGUUAGUGGAGUGGCAAAAGUUCUUUGGAAUAGGACAUCAUAGAGGGUGAGAAUCCCGUAUUUGGUCAUUCCUCCUAGCGUUGUGAUACACUUUCAACGAGUCGGAUUGUUUGGGAAUGCAGUCCAAAAUGGGUGGUAAAUUUCAUCUAAAGCUAAAUAUUGGCGAGAGACCGAUAGCGAACAAGUACCGUGAGGGAAAGAUGAAAAGAACUUUGAAAAGAGAGUUAAACAGUACGUGAAAUUGUCAAAAGGGAAGCGUUUGACACCAGUGUUGUUUUUCCGAAAAUCAAUUACGAAUGUUUUGUUUUUGAGGAGUUAUGACUUCAUCGGCUUGCUCCUUUCUUUAUGAACUUAAUGCACUUUUCGGUUAACAAGUCAACAUCAAUUUCUUUUGCUGUAAAAGGGUAUGAGGAAGGUGGCUUUCUUUUCGGAGAAAGUGUUUAUAGCCUUGUGCCUCUGCAAUCGGAGAGAUUGAGGUCUGCAGCGUAGAUCCUUCGGGGUUAGAUACAGUUUGUGCUAAGUUAUAGCUUUUCAUAGACAACUUGUUGACUAUGUUUAGUCUUGUAGCUUACUCGCUGAUGCUAUUUUACCUACGCUUAGGAUGUUGAUGUGAUACUGCGAGCA
RNAcentral lists this ribosomal RNA (770 nucleotides) under uncultured Neocallimastigales. RNAcentral describes it as "partial large subunit ribosomal RNA". It matches the Rfam family "Eukaryotic large subunit ribosomal RNA", at positions 19 to 646 of the family's 3401-position model. Lineage: Eukaryota; Fungi; Neocallimastigomycota; Neocallimastigomycetes; Neocallimastigales. The record is from RNAcentral.